AAGGUAACGGCUUACCAAGGCGACGAUCAGUAGCCGACCUGAGAGGUUGAACGGCCACAUUGGGACUGAGAUACGGCCCAGACUCCUACGGGAGGCAGCAGUGGGGAAUAUUGCACAAUGGGGGAAACCCUGAUGCAGCGACGCCGCGUGAAGGAAGAAGUAUCUCGGUAUGUAAACUUCUAUCAGCAGGGAAGAAAGUGACGGUACCUGACUAAGAAGCCCCGGCUAACUAC
Molecule: ribosomal RNA, 233 nt
Filed under: uncultured bacterium
Lineage: Bacteria
Description: partial 16S ribosomal RNA
Rfam family: Bacterial small subunit ribosomal RNA
Source: RNAcentral